GUUCAGAUGUACCACCUGAAAGCCCGGAGCGAUCCCUCCGCGGUGUCUCUCCCAGAGCAGCUCGUGCAGCAGGCGGCCGGAUCCCCUUCCACGGUUUUUGUCAAAAGCGUAAGCAAAUAUCUUAGCACCGUUUCCAUCAGCAUCUACCUCCAUGCGAGCCUCGAAGGAGAAGCUCUCCACCAGCGGGAUGUCCUGCUCGUCGAUCAGCGUGUAUUUGGUCUUGCCGGCCACGCGGCCGAGCCGCACGAUGCCCAGCUUGAAGUCCGUCAUGGCCGGGCCGGGCCGGGCCCGCGCUCAGCGCCUCGGAGCCCGCGAGCGGGAGCCGCUGCCACGCGCCGCCGCCUCGCGCACACCCGGGGAGGGGGGCGGGGCG
Molecule: long non-coding RNA, 373 nt
Filed under: Gallus gallus (chicken)
Lineage: Eukaryota; Metazoa; Chordata; Aves; Galliformes; Phasianidae
Source: RNAcentral